CGGGGCGUAGCGCAGUCUGGUCAGCGCACCUGGUUUGGGACCAGGGGGUCGAAGGUUCGAAUCCUUUCGCCCCGA
Sulfurospirillum deleyianum DSM 6946 is the source of this 75-nucleotide transfer RNA. It matches the Rfam family "tRNA". From Rfam's summary of the family: Transfer RNA (tRNA) molecules are approximately 80 nucleotides in length. Their secondary structure includes four short double-helical elements and three loops (D, anti-codon, and T loops). Lineage: Bacteria; Pseudomonadati; Campylobacterota; Epsilonproteobacteria; Campylobacterales; Sulfurospirillaceae. The record is from Rfam.